AAAAUGUUUUGCAAAGAAUGUCUUAGCUCAAUAGAUGAUGAAGAAUGCUGCAAAAUGCAUUAUGAAUUGUGAAUUGCAGAAUUCCGUGAGCCAAUAAGUUUUUGAAUGUUACGUGCACCUUUGGGAUAUGCUUGAAGGUUUGCUUGAUUCAAUGCCAAAC
RNAcentral lists this ribosomal RNA (160 nucleotides) under Alexandrium tamiyavanichii. Its description in RNAcentral is "5.8S ribosomal RNA". It matches the Rfam family "5.8S ribosomal RNA". From Rfam's summary of the family: 5.8S ribosomal RNA (5.8S rRNA) is a component of the large subunit of the eukaryotic ribosome. It is transcribed by RNA polymerase I as part of the 45S precursor that also contains 18S and 28S rRNA. The record is from RNAcentral. Lineage: Eukaryota; Dinophyceae; Gonyaulacales; Pyrocystaceae.